CUGCCCUGCCCACUGAAUAUUGUUUGAAGGGCCGCAGUAUUUUGACUGUGCAAAGGUAGCAUAAUCAUUAGUCUUUUAAUUGAAGGCUGGUAUGAAUGGUUGGAUGAGAUACAAGCUGUGUCAUAAAAAUUAAUAUUUGAAUUUACCUUUUUAGUCAAAAGGCUAAAAUAAUCUUAAAAGACGAGAAGACCCCGUAGAGCUUUAUAUAAUUAAUAUUUAAAUUAUUAAGAUUUUUAAAAUUUAAUUAUUAAAUUAUAUUUUGUUGGGGUGACAAUAAAAUUAAUAAAACUUUUAUUUUUAAUUAACAUUGAUUUAUGAGUAAAUGAUCCAGUUUUAUUGAUUAUAAAUUUAAGUUACCUUGGGGAUAACAGCGUAAUUUUUUUUGAGAGUUCUUAUCGACAAAAAAGAUUGCGACCUCGAUGUUGGAUUAAGAGUAAUUUUGGGUGUAGAAGUUCAAAGUNUUAAGUCUGUUCGACUUUUAAAUUCUU
RNAcentral lists this ribosomal RNA (488 nucleotides) under Simulium vernum. RNAcentral's name for it is "partial 16S ribosomal RNA". It matches the Rfam family "Bacterial large subunit ribosomal RNA", at positions 1854 to 2597 of the family's 2925-position model. Lineage: Eukaryota; Metazoa; Arthropoda; Insecta; Diptera; Simuliidae. The record is from RNAcentral.